CACGUAGGCGGACUCUUAAGUCGGGGUGAAAGCCCAGGGCUCAACCCUGGAACUGCCUUCGAUACUGGGAGUCUUGAGUAUGGUAGAGGUUGGUGGAACUGCGAGUGUAGAGGUGAAAUUCGUAGAUAUUCGCAAGAACACCAGUGGCGAAGGCGGCCAACUGGACCAUUACUGACGCUGAGGUGCGAAAGCGUGGGGAGCAAACA
RNAcentral lists this ribosomal RNA (206 nucleotides) under uncultured bacterium. RNAcentral describes it as "partial 16S ribosomal RNA". It matches the Rfam family "Bacterial small subunit ribosomal RNA", at positions 568 to 774 of the family's 1533-position model. The record is from RNAcentral.